Molecule: small nuclear RNA, 319 nt
Filed under: Sorex araneus (European shrew)
Lineage: Eukaryota; Metazoa; Chordata; Mammalia; Eulipotyphla; Soricidae
Description: 7SK RNA (ENSSARG00000020081.1)
Rfam family: 7SK RNA (bases 1-287)
About the family: 7SK was discovered as an abundant small nuclear RNA in the mid-70s but a possible function has only recently been suggested. Two independent studies have found that 7SK RNA binds the CDK9/cyclin T complex (known as elongation factor P-TEFb).
Source: RNAcentral
GGAUAUGAGGGAGAUUUGACUGUGACAUCUGUCACACUGAUUGCCAGGGCUGAUUGAGUAGAUCUGACUGGCUAGAUGGGUGUCUCUGUCCUCACUCACUGUUCCAUGUUGUCCCCAGUGAAACCACACAGUAGGUCAAAGAGGAUGAGUCUUCCUGGAAUACAGUCAGGCCCAGACCACCCUUGGUCCAAGGUACACAAGUAGCUAGCUGAGCUCCCCCACCCAAUUUUAUUUUUUUUUUUUUUUUGUAGUGAAGCAGGAUUUAUUGAACAAAACUAGAAAGAUGUGAGCAGGGAAGAAAGAAAGGCAUAUGUGUUCU